UAUUGAGAAUAGCCCAGAGAGU
This 22-nucleotide unclassified non-coding RNA is filed under the name Mus musculus (house mouse). RNAcentral's name for it is "oocyte_clustered_small_RNA12828". Lineage: Eukaryota; Metazoa; Chordata; Mammalia; Rodentia; Muridae. The record is from RNAcentral.